GUAAGGAGUUUUCGGCAAUGGGGGGAACCCUGACCGAGCAACGCCGCGUGAGUGAUGACGGCCCUAUGGGUUGUAAAGCUCUGUUAUAAGGGACGAACAGCUUUGCUAGGAAAUGAGCAGAGUCUGACGGUACUUUAUCAGAAAGCCACGGCUAACUACGUGCCAGCAGCCGCGGUAAUACGUAGGUGGCAAGCGUUAUCCGGAAUUAUUGGGCGUAAAGAGUGAGCAGGCGGCAGAUUAAGUUUGAGGUUAAAGCGUGGGGCUCAACCCCAUAAAGCCUUGAAAACUGAUCAGCUAGAGUACGAGAGAUGUGAAGGGAACUCCAUGUGUAGCGGUGAAAUGCGUAGAUAUAUGGAAGAACACCAGUGGCGAAGGCGCUUCACAAGCUCGAAACUGACGCUCAGUCACGAAAGCGUGGGUAGCAAAUAGGAUUAGAAACCCUGGUAGUCC
RNAcentral lists this ribosomal RNA (450 nucleotides) under uncultured bacterium. RNAcentral's name for it is "partial 16S ribosomal RNA". It matches the Rfam family "Bacterial small subunit ribosomal RNA", at positions 354 to 796 of the family's 1533-position model. The record is from RNAcentral.